AGACCAUGUUGUUGGCAUCGCCUUAAAAGAUAUUUGUACCUCUACCAACCUUCAUAUAGUGUCUCUCCAUCUUGUUGAGUGAAAGAAGCUAUGUCAUGUCGAAGUUU
Molecule: small nucleolar RNA, 107 nt
Organism: Dioscorea cayenensis subsp. rotundata (Guinea yam)
Lineage: Eukaryota; Viridiplantae; Streptophyta; Magnoliopsida; Dioscoreales; Dioscoreaceae
Source: RefSeq, a predicted model, not a curated record